GAUGAACGCUGGCGGCGUGCCUAAUACAUGCAAGUCGAACGAACAGAUGAGGAGCUUGCUCCUCUGACGUUAGCGGCGGACGGGUGAGUAACACGUGGAUAACCUACCUAUCAUACUGGUAUAACUUCGGGACACCGGCGCUAAUACCGGAUAAUCUCUUGAACCGCAGUGUUCAAUAGUGAGAGACGGUUUUUCUGGCACUUCUCGAUGGAUCCGCGCCGCAUGAGCUGGUUGUUAAGGUAACGGCUUACCAAGGCAACCAGGCGUAUCCGACGGGAGAGACGGAUCGGCGACACGAGAACGUAGACACGGACCAGACUCCUACGGGAGGCAGCAGUAGGGAACCUGACGCAGUGGGCGAGAGCAUGACGGAGCAACGGCGAGUGAGUGACGACGGUCUUCGGAUCGUAAAGACCUGUUAUGAGGGAAGAACAAAUGUGUAAGUAACUAUGCACGUCUUGACGGUACUUAAUCAGAAAGCCACGGCUAACUACGUG
RNAcentral lists this ribosomal RNA (497 nucleotides) under uncultured bacterium. Its description in RNAcentral is "partial 16S ribosomal RNA". It matches the Rfam family "Bacterial small subunit ribosomal RNA", at positions 28 to 507 of the family's 1533-position model. The record is from RNAcentral.